GACCCCCAAGGCUGACCUAUCAGCAGCACCUUUUGGGAAUGUUUUUGUGUUUUCUUUUUGCAUUUUUUGGUUUUGGUUUUGUUCCGAGCAGAGCACUGCUCGCCCUCAGAUGCUCCGAUAGGCCUCCCUUGGGGUCCAUGCCCACAGCCCCCCCUCGGGUGAAAUCCCCCCCCCCCCCCUCGGGAAGAACCACUGCUGUGGAAGCGCAGCCUGCCUCCCUGGGCUGCACGCUCCCCUCCGCCUCUGGCCUCCAGUGGUUGCCACUGACACUUGUUCCUCAAAGGUCCCAGCACUGCCCCCGCUGGGACAGUGAUCCAGCCAUCCCUUCUUGGAACCAACACAGUCCCUUCCAUCUGCCAUGCCCCAAACUCCAGCCUACUUUCCAGAGUUAUCUUUUUCAUUUUCUUAGGUCUGUCCUCCCUCUUAGUCAAAAAUCAUUGUUGAAUGUGACUUUAAUUCUUUUUACUUAAACUUCCUAAAUCAUCCCUUGUUCAUUCCAUACUUGUUUUCAAAGUGCUUCAUGCUCACUGUGGUACAAAAGAACUUUGGAAAUCUACUCAUUUCAGCACUCAUUCUCUUCCAUAUUUAAUAUUUUGAGGCAUGGUCUAAACUUUUCCUCUCCUCCACCCUCGCCCCACACGCUUUCAUUCCUCUCUUUAUUUUUGGCCAUACCCGUGGUAUGCAAAAGGUCCCAGGCCAGGAAUCAGACCCUCAGCACAGCCAUGACAAUGACAGAUCCCUAACCUGCUAGGCCACCAGGGAACUCCUAAUUUCUCUCUCGUUUCAAUCUUGUUGAAAACAUGAACCUUCCUUGAACUCAGCUAUUAAAAAGUCCAUAUCCCUUAACCUUCUCUUAACCUGAUUUCCCUCUCACUCCCGUUUAAUAUUUUCUGCUCUUUCAUUAAUACUUCAUGUUUUAAUUUUAUAUACUGUAGUAGGUUUGGCAAAAUUCUCUGUCCAGCCACCUUAAUUUACUCAUCCUUUGCUGUUAUCAUGCUUUAGUUUUACUAGGCCCUGAUUUUGUCAUUGUCUCUGUAUGUAAUCCGUGCACUCUUCCUCUCCUUGUUCCUAUUUUAUUUCCAUUUUAUUAUUGAGUACAAGGCCUUUUUUUUCUCAUAUUUGUUUCUUCUCAUGGACUCUUUUAAUCCUAUAUAUAAGUCUGCUUUUGCAUAUCUGUUUUGGUACCUCUUUCUCUUCUCUGCCCUAUUUACACCCUUGCCUCAUCCCACCCUGUUCCAUAAUUUGUGCAGUGAAUCUUGCACUGUAGUCCUUUCUACAUAGUGAAAACUGGAUGUGCAGUUUUCCUUGCCAUUCCAUGGCCCUCAGCUGAAUUCCUCUUUAUCCAGUCUUAACUUCUAUGUCCUCUGCUUUGUUUGGACUUGGAUUGAAUGCACAGCUCCAUCUAUCUCUUCCAGUUUGCCUUUUGCUCAUAUUCCACUCUGCAUGAAGUUCCCUUCUAACUUAUUUCCAUCCCACCUUCACUUUCUUCCGUACUGUUGGCCUGUCUUUAAUCCUGUGUCCAUUUCUGCCUUCAGUGAGGGUCUCCUUCUUGUGAAGCUGUUUUACCCUGUAUUUCGUGUCUCUGACAUGUUGUCUUAUCCACACACUGCUCUUUUUACUUGGUUUCUAUCACCUAUGUUCUUCCUUGUGCCAUUAGGUACAAUUACGGUGCCAAACCUUGUUUCUUGGUAUGUCAUUCCUCAGUGAUUUUUCCCAUUUAAAGUGAAAUUUUGCUUUUUUGCCCAUUUUCUUCCCCUCCUUCUUUGCCCCAUUCUACCUUUUAUUAACCGUCCAUAUACUGAGUAGGUAGCAUUCUCCUAACACUCACUGAGACCUUCCUCUUUGGUUCCUCUUCUUGUUCUCCAUUCAUUCCUCAAUCCACUUCCAUGUUUCUUCUUUCUUACAUAUUUUGCUGAAUCGCUUUGGUUUUUCUAUUUAUUCUUUGGCAGAAUCCCUGCAACUUGUGUUGUUUUGGGUCUGAACUUGUCUCAAACCUUUCUGCUGACUCUCCUGUUUAAUGCAAACAUGCUUUUCUAGAUACUGUCCUUUUUAUGUCUCGUUUUCAUUUAUCACUUUUAUCUUCCCCUGUUCUUCCUUUAAGAAAUGCCUCCCCACACAGUUCUCUGACUUUCUGACUCAACUGCCUUCAAGUACAAGCAAUUUUCCUUUUCCUUCCUUUUCUUUCUUUUUUUGCUUUUUAGGGCCACACUCACAGCAUAUGGAAGGUCCCAGGCUAGGGGUCAAAUUGGAGCUACAGCUGCCGCCUACACCACAGCCACAGCAACGCCGGAUCAGAGCCGCAUCUGCGACCUACACCACAACUCACAGCAAUGCCAGAUCCUUAACCUACUAAGUGAGGCCAGGGAUCGAACCCAAAACCUCAUGGUUCCUAGUCAGGUUCGUUUCCGCUGCGCCACAACAGGAACUCCUCUCCUUUCUUUAAAAUAUGCUGAAUAACAGUUUUUGUUAGUAAAUGCUCAUGUUGUAGUUCUUAAAUUUGAAAAAGCCCAUAACCAUCUUCCUUUAAAAAAAUCCAACAUAUAUUCUCAACCAUCACAAAAAUACUGUUAUAAAUUCUUUUAAGUAUUUCUUAAAAUAUAAACCAUUUUAAAGGCCAACUACAUAAUUAUUUAAUAUAAAAUUCAUUCACUAGUGUGUAUGUGUGUGGUAUGGAAUGAUCCCAUACUAUAGCCGACAAUUGCAUUCUCCUUUUACAUUGCAUGGAAUUAAUGAAGGUUUCCCAAGAGAAAUAAAAAAAAAAUGCAUAUAACAUUUUAAAAAUGCAAUAUAUAAAUAAACUUUGGGGAAACAUUUACUUACCAAUUGUUGAACUGCUGGAGUUGUUCCACACAUUUUGUAGGGAAGAUGACAGGAAUAAUGCAUAACACAUUUAAACCCUUAGGCACAGGAAGUUAGCCUCUGGGGAGGAGAACUAUGAGCCACAGCAGACAUACCAUCUCGGAUAGACUUGUGCAGACUCAAAGCUUUGCUAGCACGAGAAUGCUAACUCACUGUGCCAAGUUUCCCCAACAUAUGGUAACAUACAGGUAACAACUUUUCAUGUUAAGUAUCUUAGUAAUGUGACUAGAUAGCUGGUGAAACAUGCAUUCCUCAUUCUGAUCUUUUUUGCCAUUCACGCCCUGCAUAUUACAAACCCAGCCUAAUUUCUACAUCCCUUCUCUAACCAGCAUCUUCCUUUCCUUUCCCUUGCCUCUUUUUUUUUUUACACAAGUCUUCACAGUUGCUUCUUUCACUGUCAGCGAGCCGUAAUGUGAUUCUGUAACUUCUCAGCAACCGAGCAUCACACUUAAGAGGCCAAUCUUCCGUAACUCCUUUUGAAUAUUUGCCCUGCCAGUUCUUAAACAUUCUCCUCAGCUGGCACCCACAGACUCUGUUGGUGAAUGCAGUGUUAUUCUCUCAAGGUUCACCUCCUCAUGAUCACCAACCACUUCUCAACCAAUAGCGUGCAUUUGUCCUACUAGAAAAAGUAUCCUAUCCACACCUUCUGAAAGGUCAGUCAAUGGUGAUGUCUUUAAGGUUUCCACCAGUGGCUCCUUAUCAGGAUUUAUCUUAUUCCAUCUCUUUCUAACCCUUCCUAACAGGCAGUCACUUCAAGCAUAAAUUUCCCACAAAGACUUCAAGAGUCAGCCUACCCAAGCCCUAUUCUUUUGGGGGCUCCGGAUCCUCUUCCAUUCCGUACACAGUUCGGGGACCUGACGGUUCUGCUUGUCUUGCAUUCACACUGAUCUGUCUUGCCAUUCCAUCGACUCAGAACUGCUCUCCAAUUCAUGCAGUGCCCCUUUAUUUACUUGCCAUCCUCUCUAUUUCCUUUUUCUUCUGUCAUGACCUUUGGCCUAAGUAUGGAGCAGUGGCCAUUUCUCUCAUCAGUAUGACUGUUCAAAUUAUGCCUUUCCAUCUGCAAGCUCUUCUGUUCCUUUUCUCCUUUCCCCCUUUCUCCUUUUGCUGCAAACUCUCUACAUUUCCCCCAGUAUUCCUUCUCCUUCCACUUAUCAUUCCAGUGACUCUCAUCAUUUUUCUGGAUCUGUGCACUUUUGAUAUUCAGCACCCACAGUUCAAACUUCCUCCAUUUUCCUUAUUUCCCACACUCUGUACUGAAAUUGGUUUCCACCCUCUAUUGAGGCUGGACUCCCUAGGAUUCCUGCUCUGAUCCAUUAUCACAUUUAAUGGCUAACUUGUCAUGCUACUGACUACACUGAUGGCUUCCAAACUUGUUCCAGCACAGCUUUCUGGGCAGUAAGCCUCUUAUUUAGCAAUGUUCUCACCUCUUUCCUCAGCUGGUUGAUAUGUGGCAUACCAUCGUGUUCUUCGCUGAGCUUCUAGUUCUGAUCCCUUUGUGUUCCUCAUCCUGACCCUCUUUAAUGCCCUUCCAUGUUUAACAUUUUGCAAAACUGCAUUUUCUGUACCACAGCCUACAUCCUACACUCCCUCUCCUUGCUUAGAUUCCAGCCUCGAUUUUUCUCCAUGGUUUCCUUCUCUCUCCUUUUUAAAACACCUAUCUCAGUAGUUUCUCUCACAGCCAGUCCGAACAUAAUAAUUAAUUUCUGAGCAGACUUUAGCGUAUUUCAACAAGUCCUUCCUGACUUCUUUAGACUCUUUUCUCUGUCAUAUAUAUUGAAUCUGUAAUAUUUUCAGCUUCCCUCUCUAAUCAUAGUGAGGGAUUCACUAGUCUUCUCUUGAGGUAUACUCCCACUCACUUACACCCAAUACAGUUCGCCCUUUCACCAAAUAAACUACCCACCCACAUGCUCUAGUUGGUCAUACCAGUGUCUUCCAGGUUGCUCUCAAUGGCUUUUCAUUAGAAUUCAUCCCAACUCCUCCUCCUAACCAUCUUAUCAACCAAACCUUUUAAUUAAAAUGUUCUAUUCCCCCCAAAUUCAUAGCCUACUAUCCCACUUCUCAACCUCAUGCUAUAUUUAAGAUUUUUUUUAAGAAAUGAAACAAUGCAUAAUUUAGACUUCUUCUGUACCAUUUUAGAAUCACUUACCUCUUCCUAAGAGAAAAUCACUAAAUAAUUUGACAUUUAUCCUCAUACAUAUUUUUACACUUUUUAUAACUUUGAGGGCUUUAAAUAUAUAUAUAUAUAUAUAUCUCAAUUCUUUAAAAAAAAGUUUUCUCAUCAGGACUUUAAUCUAUUCAUUCUAACUUCUAUUCAUUCAUAUGCAGGCCUUUACUUCUCUCUCAUUAUAUACACCACUCAUUGUAAGCUCCAAACCAAACAUUUUUAACCAGUUAGACCCCUCCUGAGAUCUGACAGAUUGCUCUGUUCUAGGUUUCUUUAAUUCAUAUCUUUUUUGCCUUUUGGCUCUUCUGACUACUAAGAACCUGUGCUCUCAUCACUUAGAUUAAAACCCCUCUCUUCUUUUGUAUUCCAUUAUGCUCGACCAUAUUCAUUUCAGUCUCAUCCUAUAUCACAGCAAAGGAUGCAUUAUUUUUUUGCUGAGGUUUACCUCCCUACUGAUUCCCAACCAUUCCUUAAGAAAUGCAAAUAGCCUUCUCUAUAAACAGACUUAAUUGGUCAAUCCUGUGUUUCAAGAUGACUAACAAUGUCUUCUUAGGAGAAUUCAUUUUAAUAAAACUCAAACUUCCCUAUUAAGCAAGAUUUUAAUUAAAAAAUGUUACCCACAGCAUUAAGAGCUAGUUUACGCUCUAAUUCCCAUUUCUAUCCAAGUCCUUGAAACUCCAUUAGAUAUACCACUCAUUACCAUUGGGCUGUCCCAUCCAAUUUUAACAUUUAAAGCCAUUUUAAGAUCUCUGUUCUGGGUCUCUUUAUUACACACCUGAUCUGUAUUGCUCCCACUCCCUUUACUCUUAAGUCUUCUCUAGUCCAUACAACAGGUCUUUAUUCAGUUAACAAAUUCUCUUUUUCUUCCUAUUCCUUCAUAAUCUUGGCCUAAAUAUGGUAACAUAACCCACCAGUUAAUAGAUACCAUUCUUAAAAUCAUCCCUUCACAUUUGCAGGAAGCUUCACUUUGCCUCCCAUUCUUAUUUUGCCCUAGAGAAACAUGCUGCCUUGUCUUCUGUGUCUCUCCUUUCACCUUCUACCUACACACACACCUUGCCAGAGAUUCAGCUGUCCCGUAAGGACAGGCGCUCCCCUUGUGUGGGGCACUCACUGCUCAGCCCCUGCCAGCUCCCCUUCGUGUCCUACUUGACUGCUUUUGUUUGUACUCUCAGUUCAGCAUAAAAUUCCCCAAGAUUCCUGCCACUGGCCUGCCUCUUAUGUCCAUUCCACUUAGCCUACUUCUGACCUUUCACUGUAUUGACCACACCCAUUACUUCUAUUAUUUUUCCAAAACAGCAUCCUGGAAGCAAAACUUCAUACUCCAAUCCUUACUUUGCUGCAUUCUCGCCUCACUUUCUCUCCUUAAUCAUAUACAACUCUGACACACUUCCAGAUCCCAUGUCCUGCUGUUGCCAUUUAGCCCUCUUCAGCAUCCUUCCAUUUUCUACACUGCAAGUUCUGUACCAUAGCCUGAUUCACAUGCGCCUUCUCCUUAUUUAGCUUCCAACCUCCAUCUUUUGCUCUUUCCUUCUUUGCUAUUUUUGCAUGCUAGUCUCCUCAGGUGUCUCUCUCACUUUCUGAAAAUUCUAAUACACUUCCUUAAUUUCUGGGUGUAUCUUAAUGUCCCUCUCAUAGGACAUUCUUCCCAGUUCUCCUUUGGAGAGUCCCCUCAUAUAUGGUAACCUUUCAGAGUAAUGAAUGCAUAUUCUGUUUGAGGUCUCCUCAUCUCCUGAUCCCUACCCUCUCCCUCGCUCAAAACCAAUUUUCUACUCUUUAGAUGAGCCUUUCCUUUGGAUGACUUCUGUCCUCUUCCUUUUCAUCAUGGACUUCAGCCCGGGUAUGGUGCCAUAUGCCUCCAGAUGGUAUCAGUGAUAAUAUCUUUGCCAACAUUAAGUGAUACCACCUCACCUGGCAGCAGUUUUAACUUUGCUGUUUUACUCCUCUUUCUUUAUUUUGCCUUAUAAAAACUCUACCUUAUAUUCAGCAUCCCUCCUUCAUGCAGAGACUGUGUAGGGUACAUAUUAUUCCCAUAGAUUCAGUAAUCUCUCCCAGAUAAAUCAACACUUCAUGAUCAGCAUUCACUGUUCCGACUCUGGACUGGACUCUAAGCUCCAUGCCGCAUAGUCUCUCUUCUACAAAACCUCCUGAACAGUUCCCUCAAUUCAUAACCUUGAUUCUUAUUUAGCUACAUUCCCUUCUUCCUCCCUUUAAAUGACUGUGAUCUGGAUGAACAUAAAAUCACUAUUAAAUUUCUUCUUCCCCCAUGUCCCAGAAUUUCUCCUUCUAACACUCUGCAGUGCCCUUACCCAUUGGCCAUGUUGCUUCCUGCCAGUUCCCUUCACAUGGCCCUUUUCCUUUUAUUAGACUCCACUCUCCCCUUAUCUACUGUCCUUUGUUACAAGUCUCAUCAGUUCUUCUCUAAUUUUCAGCUAAUCCUAGUAUGACAACUUGCUAGCAAAUAAUUACUCUUUUUUCUUCUUUUUUUUUGUUUUUUGUUUUUAGGGCCUCACCCGCAGCAUAUGGAGGUUCCCAGGCUAGGGGUCCAAUCGGAGCUAUAGCUCCGGCCUAUACCACAGCUACAACAAUGCCAGAUCCAAGCCACAUCCGCCACCUGCACCACAGGUCACGGCAACAUCAGAUCCUUAACCCACUGAUCAAGGCCAGGGAUCAGACCCACAACCUCAUGGGUCCUAGUCGGAUUCAUUUCCACUGCACCACGGCAGGAACUCCCAAAGAAUUACUCUUAAUCUGCCUUCCUAUAAAGCAGUGGCUCUCAAAUUGCAGUUUGUUAAAAUUCAAACUGCUGGACCCCAUCUUGAAUUUCUGAUUCAGGAGGUCUAGUGGGGCCAAAGAAUUUAUAUUUCUAACAAAUUCCUAGGCAGUGCUGAUAUAACACAUUUUAAGAAGCAUUGCAAUAAACUUUCCCCUCAACCAUGCCCUUUAAAAAUUUCCCACCAAGGCAUCAAGAGCAGGUCUACUUCUGACUAUCACUUCUUUUCAGGGCUUUAUUUCUCUCCCAUUAUGUAGACUAGUCAUUGCAGCCUGGCUUACAUCCAGCAUACUGAGCAGUUAGGCCCAUCCUCCAAUCUGACUGGCUUCCCAUUCCAUUGUGGGAAUCUUUUUGGUUUUUGUUCUUACCAGGCUACCUACUCAGAGUCACUGCCUAGUCUAUACAGUGCUCCUCCAGCUU
Molecule: non-coding RNA, 8213 nt
Organism: Sus scrofa (pig)
Lineage: Eukaryota; Metazoa; Chordata; Mammalia; Artiodactyla; Suidae
Source: RefSeq, a predicted model, not a curated record